RNAcentral lists this ribosomal RNA (484 nucleotides) under uncultured bacterium. RNAcentral describes it as "partial 16S ribosomal RNA". It matches the Rfam family "Bacterial small subunit ribosomal RNA", at positions 30 to 507 of the family's 1533-position model. The record is from RNAcentral.
AUUGAACGCUGGCGGCAGGCCUAACACAUGCAAGUCGAGCGGAUGAAGGGAGCUUGCUCCUGGAUUCAGCGGCGGACGGGUGAGUAAUGCCUAGGAAUCUGCCUGGUAGUGGGGGAUAACGUCCGGAAACGGGCGCUAAUACCGCAUACGUCCUGAGGGAGAAAGUGGGGGAUCUUCGGACCUCACGCUAUCAGAUGAGCCUAGGUCGGAUUAGCUAGUUGGUGGGGUAAAGGCCUACCAAGGCGACGAUCCGUAACUGGUCUGAGAGGAUGAUCAGUCACACUGGAACUGAGACACGGUCCAGACUCCUAAGGGAGGCAGCCGUGGGGAAUAUUGGACAAUGGGCGAAAGCCUGAUCCAGCCAUGCCGCGUGUGUGAAGAAGGUCUUCGGAUUGUAAAGCACUUUAAGUUGGGAGGAAGGGCAGUAAGUUAAUACCUUGCUGUUUUGACGUUACCAACAGAAUAAGCACCGGCUAACUUCGUG